GAUUUUUCAAUGGCCGCGGUAAUUUGACCGUGCAAAGGUAGCAUAAUCACUUGUCUCUUAAAUGGAGGCUAGAAUGAAUGGUUGGACGAGAUAUAUACUUUCUUUGUAGUAUUAAUUUGAAUUUGAUUUUUGAGUUAAAAAGCUUAAAUUUUUUUAUGGGACGAGAAGACCCUGUAGAAUUUUAUAUUGAAUCAUUUUAAUUGUUUUUGGUUUAUUAUUGACUUUUUUUAUUGUUUUAGUAUUUUGUUGGGGCGACAGGAAGAUUUUUUUAACUCUUCUUAUUUUUUUUCAUUGAUUUAUGUUUUAUUUUGAUCCUUUAUUAAAGAUUAAAAGAUUAAAUUACCUCAGGGAUAACAGCGUAAUCCUUUUGGAGAGUUCUUAUCGAUAAAAGGGUUUGCGACCUCGAU
Molecule: ribosomal RNA, 407 nt
Filed under: Lethocerus indicus
Lineage: Eukaryota; Metazoa; Arthropoda; Insecta; Hemiptera; Belostomatidae
Description: partial large subunit ribosomal RNA
Rfam family: Archaeal large subunit ribosomal RNA
Source: RNAcentral